AUUGAACGCUGGCGGCAUGCUUUACACAUGCAAGUCGAACGGUAACAGGUUAAGCUGACGAGUGGCGAACGGGUGAGUAAUGCAUCGGAACGUGCCCGAUCGUGGGGGAUAACACUUCGAAAGAAGUGCUAAUACCGCAUACGAUCUGAGGAUGAAAGCGGGGGACCGUAAGGCCUCGCGCGAUCGGAGCGGCCGAUGUCAGAUUAGGUAGUUGGUGGGGUAAAGGCUCACCAAGCCGACGAUCUGUAGCUGGUCUGAGAGGACGACCAGCCACACUGGGACUGAGACACGGCCCAGACUCCUACGGGAGGCAGCAGUGGGGAAUUUUGGACAAUGGGCGCAAGCCUGAUCCAGCAAUGCCGCGUGCAGGAAGAAGGCCUUCGGGUUGUAAACUGCUUUUGUACGGAGCGAAAAGGCUCUCUCUAAUACAGGGGGCUGAUGACGGUACCGUAAGAAUAAGCACCGGCUAACUCUGUGCCAGCAGCCGCCGUAA
RNAcentral lists this ribosomal RNA (493 nucleotides) under uncultured bacterium. RNAcentral describes it as "partial 16S ribosomal RNA". It matches the Rfam family "Bacterial small subunit ribosomal RNA", at positions 30 to 523 of the family's 1533-position model. The record is from RNAcentral.